RNAcentral lists this ribosomal RNA (450 nucleotides) under uncultured bacterium. RNAcentral's name for it is "partial 16S ribosomal RNA". It matches the Rfam family "Bacterial small subunit ribosomal RNA", at positions 338 to 795 of the family's 1533-position model. The record is from RNAcentral.
CCUACGGGUGGCUGCAGUGAGGAAUCUUGCGCAAUGGGGGAAACCCUGACGCAGCAACGCCGCGUGAGUGAGGAAGGUCUUCGGAUCGUAAAGCUCUGUCGGGUGGAAAGAAAUGUAUGGGGUUAAUAGCCUUCAUACUUGACGGUACCACCAAAGGAAGCACCGGCUAACUCCGUGCCAGCAGCCGCGGUAAUACGGGGGGUGCAAGCGUUGCUCGGAAUUAUUGGGCGUAACUUGGGUGUAGGCAUCUGAAAGCCCUGGGCUUAACCCAGGAAGUGCAUUUGAGACUGCCAGGCUUGAGUAGGGGAGAGGGAAGUGGAAUUCCUGGUGUAGAGGUGAAAUUCGUAGAUAUCAGGAGGAACACCGGUGGCGAAGGCGACUUCCUGGCCCUAUACUGACGCUGAGACGCGAGAGCGUGGGUAGCAAACAGGAUUAGAUACCCCAGUAGUC